RNAcentral lists this ribosomal RNA (229 nucleotides) under uncultured bacterium. RNAcentral's name for it is "partial 16S ribosomal RNA". It matches the Rfam family "Bacterial small subunit ribosomal RNA", at positions 568 to 796 of the family's 1533-position model. The record is from RNAcentral.
UCCGUAGGCGGGCAAUUAAGUCAGAGGUGAAAUCCCACAGCUCAACUGUGGAACUGCCUUUGAUACUGGUUGUCUUGAGUUAUAGUGAAGUAGAUAGAAUAUGUAGUGUAGCGGUGAAAUGCUUAGAGAUUACAUAGAAUACCGAUUGCGAAGGCAGUCUACUAACUAUAUACUGACGCUAAUGGACGAAAGCGUGGGGAGCGAACAGGAUUAGAUACCCUGGUAGUCC